ACUGUAGUAGUUUAAGUUAAAACAGUGGAUUGCAAAUCUGAAGAUGGGUUGCCCUUACAGUU
This 62-nucleotide transfer RNA is filed under the name Pinctada albina. Its description in RNAcentral is "tRNA-Cys". It matches the Rfam family "tRNA". From Rfam's summary of the family: Transfer RNA (tRNA) molecules are approximately 80 nucleotides in length. Lineage: Eukaryota; Metazoa; Mollusca; Bivalvia; Pterioida; Pteriidae. The record is from RNAcentral.